UUCCAGACUCCUACGGGAGGCAGCAGUGAGGAAUAUUGGUCAAUGGCUGUAAGGCUGAACCAGCCAAGUAGCGUGAGGGAAGACUGCCCUAUGGGUUGUAAACCUCUUUUAUGCGGGGAUAAAGGUGUCCACGUGUGGAUGUUUGCAGGUGCCGCAUGAAUAAGGACCGGCUAACUCCGUGCCAGCAGCCGCGGUAAUACGGAGGAUCCGAGCGUUAUCCGGAUUUAUUGGGUUUAAAGGGAGCGUAGAUGGGUUGUUAAGUCAGUUGUGAAAGUUUGCGGCUCAACCGUAAAAUUGCAAUUGAUACUGGCAGUCUUGAGUACAGUUGAGGUAGGCGGAAUUCGUGGUGUAGCGGUGAAAUGCUUAGAUAUCACGAAGAACUCCGAUUGCGAAGGCAGCUUACUAAACUGCCACUGACAUUGAUGCUCGAAGGUGUGGGUAUCAAACAGGAUUAGAUACCCGGGUAC
Molecule: ribosomal RNA, 467 nt
Filed under: uncultured bacterium
Lineage: Bacteria
Description: bacterial SSU rRNA
Rfam family: Bacterial small subunit ribosomal RNA
Source: RNAcentral